RNAcentral lists this small RNA (30 nucleotides) under Bombyx mori (domestic silkworm). RNAcentral describes it as "ovarian small RNA-12675". Lineage: Eukaryota; Metazoa; Arthropoda; Insecta; Lepidoptera; Bombycidae. The record is from RNAcentral.
AUUACUAAGUAUGGCUCCUCUACGAUCGCG